CCGUAAGGCGCCGAAUGAGUCAUUAUAAAAUUAACAUCAUCCGAUCCCCUAGUCGGCAUAGUUUAUGGUUAAGACUACGACGGUAUCUGAUCGUCUUCGAUCCCCCUAACUUUCGUUCUUGAUUAAUGAAAACAUCCUUGGCAAAAUGCUUUUCGCAGUAGUUAGUCUUCAAUAAAUCCAAGAAUUUCACCUCUGACAAUUGAAUACUAAUGCCCCCAACUAUCCCUAUUAAUCAUUACGUCAAUCCUAGAAACCAACAAAAUAGGAUCGAACGUCCUAUUUCAUUAUUCCAUGCUAAUGUAUUCAAGCGUUAGCUUGCUUUAAACACUUCUUAAUUUUUUCAAAGUAACAGUCCAGUCUCCCGCAACACCAAAUUAAUGGAC
Molecule: ribosomal RNA, 383 nt
Filed under: uncultured Glomus
Lineage: Eukaryota; Fungi; Glomeromycota; Glomeromycetes; Glomerales; Glomeraceae
Description: partial 18S ribosomal RNA
Source: RNAcentral